CUACGGGGGGCACCAGUGGGGAAUAUUGGACAAUGGGGGAAACCCUGAUCCAGCAAUGCCGCGUGUGUGAAGAAGGCCUGCGGGUUGUAAAGCACUUUCGGUUGGGAGGACUGCUUCUAGCACUAAUAUUGUUGGAAGUUGACGUUACCUUCAGAAGAAGCACCGGCUAACUCCGUGCCAGCAGCCGCGGUAAUACGGAGGGGUGCAAGCGUUAAUCGGAAUUACUGGGCGUAAAGCGCGCGUAGGCGGCUAGAUCAGUCGGGUGUGAAAGCCCCGGGCUUAACCUGGGAACUGCAUCCGAUACUGUCUAGCUUGAGUACAGGAGAGGAGAGUGGAAUUCCAGGUGUAGCGGUGAAAUGCGUAGAUAUGUGGAGGAACACCAAUGGCGAAGGCAGCUCUCUGGCCUGAUACUGACGCUGAGGUGCGAAGGCGUGGGGAGCAAACAGGAUUAGAUACCCCCGUAGUC
This 466-nucleotide ribosomal RNA is filed under the name uncultured bacterium. RNAcentral's name for it is "partial 16S ribosomal RNA". It matches the Rfam family "Bacterial small subunit ribosomal RNA", at positions 339 to 795 of the family's 1533-position model. The record is from RNAcentral.